Molecule: ribosomal RNA, 369 nt
Filed under: Triticum aestivum (bread wheat)
Lineage: Eukaryota; Viridiplantae; Streptophyta; Magnoliopsida; Poales; Poaceae
Description: partial small subunit ribosomal RNA
Source: RNAcentral
GUGAUCGAUGAAUUGCUGGAUGAACUGUCAGGUUCUGCUUGGUUUACUAAAUUGGACUUGAGAGCUGGCUACCAUCAAAUUAGACUGGCACCUGGUGAAGAGUACAAAACUGCAUUAUCUACUCACAUUGGUCACUAUGAGUUUACUGUGCUGGCCUUUGGAUUGAGUGGAGGUCCUGGCACCUUCCAGAGUUCUCUGAACACUACUUUAAAACCUGUUAACAGGAAGAACACACUCUGUUUCUUUGAUGACAUCCUGAUCUUCAGUAAAUCCUACAAGGAGCACCUUGCUCAUGUUAGAGAGGUACUAGCUCUGCUGCGAGCUGAUGAGUGGAAGGUUAAACUAUCUAAGUGUGCUCAGCAGAAAAUU